This 589-nucleotide ribosomal RNA is filed under the name Filobasidium magnum. RNAcentral's name for it is "partial large subunit ribosomal RNA". It matches the Rfam family "Eukaryotic large subunit ribosomal RNA", at positions 81 to 658 of the family's 3401-position model. The record is from RNAcentral. Lineage: Eukaryota; Fungi; Basidiomycota; Tremellomycetes; Filobasidiales; Filobasidiaceae.
UAGUACGGCGAGUGAGCGGGAAGAGCUCAAAUUUGAAAUCUGGUGGCCUCAGGUCAUCCGAGUUGUAAUCUAUAGAAGUGUUUUCCGUGCUGGCUCAUGUACAAGUCCCUUGGAACAGGGCGUCAUAGAGGGUGAGAAUCCCGUCCUUGACAUGAACUACCAGUGCUCUGUGAUACAUUUUCAACGAGUCGAGUUGUUUGGGAAUGCAGCUCAAAAUGGGUGGUAAAUUCCAUCUAAAGCUAAAUAUUGGCGAGAGACCGAUAGCGAACAAGUACCGUGAGGGAAAGAUGAAAAGCACUUUGGAAAGAGAGUUAAACAGUAUGUGAAAUUGUUGAAAGGGAAACGAUUGAAGUCAGUCGUGCUCUUUGGAUUCAGCCGGUUCUGCCGGUGUACUUCCUUUGAGUGGGGUCAACAUCAGUUUUGAUCGCUGGAUAAAGGCUGGAGGAACGUAGUACCCUCGGGUAAACUUAUAGCCUCCUGUCACAUACAGUGGUUGGGACUGAGGAACGCAGCACGCCUUUAUGGCCGGGAUUCGUCCACGUACGUGCUUAGGAUGUUGACAUAAUGGCUUUAAACGACCCGUCUUGAA